AGAGUUUGAUCAUGGCUCAGAACGAACGCUGGCGGCGUGGAUAAGACAUGCAAGUCGAACGAGACUUUUUCUGGUAGCAAUACCGGGAAAAGUUUAGUGGCGAACGGGUGCGUAACACGUGGGCAAUCUGCCAUGAAGUGGGGGAUAGCUCGGCGAAAGCCGAAUUAAUACCGCAUGUGAUCAGUGAAGACAUCUUCACGACAUUAAAGCCGGGGCAACCUGGCGCUUCUUGAUGAGCCCGCGGCCUAUCAGCUAGUUGGUGAGGUAACGGCUCACCAAGGCGGUGACGGGUAGCUGGUCUGAGAGGACGACCAGCCACACUGGAACUGAGACACGGUCCAGACACCUACGGGUGGCAGCAGUCGAGAAUUUUUCUCAAUGGGGGAAACCCUGAAGGAGCGACGCCGCGUGGAGGAUGAAGGCUUUCGGGUUGUAAACUCCUGUCAUUUGGGAACAAUGUUCCGCUAUUAACUGUAGCAGGAUUGAUAGUACCAGAAGAGGAAGAGACGGCUAACUCUGUGCCAGCAGCCGCGGUAAUACAGAGGUCUCAAGCGUUGUUCGGAUUCAUUGGGCGUAAAGGGUGCGUAGGUGGCGCGCUAAGUCAGGUGUGAAAUUUCGGAGCUUAACUCCGAAACUGCAUUUGAUACUGGCGUGCUUGAGGACUGGAGAGGAGACUGGAAUUCACGGUGUAGCAGUGAAAUGCGUAGAGAUCGUGAGGAAGACCAGUGGCGAAGGCGGGUCUCUGGACAGUUCCUGACACUGAGGCACGAAGGCCAGGGGAGCAAACGGGAUUAGAUACCCCGGUAGUCCUGGCAGUAAACGGUGCACGUUUGGUGUGGGAGGAUUCGACCCCUUUCUGCGCCGGAGCUAACGCGUUAAACGUGCCGCCUGGGGAGUACGGUCGCAAGAUUAAAACUCAAAGAAAUUGACGGGGCCCGCACAAGCGGUGGAG
Molecule: ribosomal RNA, 952 nt
Filed under: uncultured bacterium
Lineage: Bacteria
Description: bacterial SSU rRNA
Rfam family: Bacterial small subunit ribosomal RNA
Source: RNAcentral